GUUUCAACCGAAUUUCUAGAAUUGGUCAUGGUUUGGCCUCUUGUUCCUCUCUAAAGGAGCUUAAUCUAGCUGGUAACAAGAUCAGUGAAGUAGAAGGCCUUCACAGACUCCUCAAGCUGUACUUUCUAGACCUGCGAUUCAACAAGAUCUCAACAUCAAAGGGACUCGGCCAAUUAGCUGCUAACACAUCCUUGCAAGCCAUUAACUUGGAAGGCAAUCCGGCUCAGAGAAAUGUGGGUGAUGAACAGCUGAAGAAAUACCUUCUGAGUCUAUUGCCCAGCUUGGUUUACUUCAACAAGCAGACCAUCAGAGCAAGCUCUUCAAAAGAAGUUGCCUCUCUUCAGUUUGAACGAGAGCUGAGAACAAGCCACAAGAACACACGAAGAACCCAUGGUUCUGGGCUACACAAGGGUUCAGCUGCAUCUAGCUCAAGUCAUGCUUUAGGCUCUCUACUGAAGCAUGCUUCUUCUAAGGGCAGGCAUGAGCACAGUGUCUCUGCAAGAACCAAACCUGCAAAUCAUCUGCGAAACAUAAACACCAAACCCCUGGGCUUGCAGCCAGCUGAUGUUAUUAGGAGGAUUCACAGUGAGGGAGGCUUUAAAGAACAUUAAUGAUGGAUGUGUGGAUAUUUUUCUCACCAUGCAUGCAACUGUCUGUGCAUAAUGCAAGAAUGGCUUGAAGGUGUUAUGUUUUUCUCAUAAACAAAAUCAGAUGAUCAGAUGUGAGAUGAUCAAAACCAGAGUGGAGAACUAUAUCUAUUUUAGGGCAUUCAAGUAUCUGACAUUUUGAAGA
Dioscorea cayenensis subsp. rotundata (Guinea yam) is the source of this 792-nucleotide long non-coding RNA. RefSeq lists it as uncharacterized. NCBI's taxonomy places the organism in Eukaryota, Viridiplantae, Streptophyta, Magnoliopsida, Dioscoreales, Dioscoreaceae. The transcript is spliced from 2 exons. The record is from RefSeq and is a predicted model, not a curated record.